This 570-nucleotide long non-coding RNA is filed under the name Brassica napus (rape). RNAcentral's name for it is "long non-coding RNA (BNAP_LNC020056)". The record is from RNAcentral. Lineage: Eukaryota; Viridiplantae; Streptophyta; Magnoliopsida; Brassicales; Brassicaceae.
UUUCCCGCCUAAAUCAAGUCUUCCAUAAGUCUUCCAGGAGUCUUCCAUAAGUCUUUCAGGAGUCUUCCAGAAGUUUUCAAGAGAAAGUCUUCUCAUGUAUUAGAUCUUAAUAAUAAUUUAAUUUUUUUAUAAAAAAAUAUUUUCAUGGGUUAAAAUUUGAAAUCAUGUAAUAAUAAACAUUUUUCAAUGAUGUAAAUUUAGUUUAUCAGAAAUUGAAUUAUUUUCAACAUAGAUGAGUGAAUGUAGAUUGGUUCAUGAGUCAUUAGUUUAGGGUUUAGUAACAUAUGUUAUAGUAUUGUUGAUAUCUUUAGGGUUAGAUUUGAAAUCUUAUCUUCAUUUUUUUCCGUUUUCAAAUUGACCUAUAUAUGUUUAGUAACUAUCUAAUAAUUUGAGUUAAACACUUUCUAAGUUUUUUUAAGUUUAAAAAGGUUUCUUUGCAUAGUUAUUUGAAUUUAGGGUCUAGAAGACUCACAGAAAAGAUAAAAAGAAGUCUUCUGACACCUCACGCCUAAAUUUAAGUUAAAUUAAGGGUUCCCGCCUAAAUUUUGGAAUAAUUUAGACUUCCCACCU